This 426-nucleotide ribosomal RNA is filed under the name uncultured bacterium. RNAcentral's name for it is "bacterial SSU rRNA". It matches the Rfam family "Bacterial small subunit ribosomal RNA", at positions 356 to 773 of the family's 1533-position model. The record is from RNAcentral.
GGGGAAUAUUGGACAAUGGGGGGAACCCUGAUCCAGCCAUGCCGCGUGUGUGAAGAAGGCCUUUUGGUUGUAAAGCACUUUAAGCGAGGAGGAGGCUCUCUUGGUUAAUACCUGAGAAGAGUGGACGUUACUCGCAGAAUAAGCACCGGCUAACUCUGUGCCAGCAGCCGCGGUAAUACAGAGGGUGCGAGCGUUAAUCGGAUUUACUGGGCGUAAAGCGCGCGUAGGUGGUUAAUUAAGUCAAAUGUGAAAUCCCCGAGCUUAACUUGGGAAUUGCAUUCGAUACUGGUUAGCUAGAGUAUGGGAGAGGAUGGUAGAAUUCCAGGUGUAGCGGUGAAAUGCGUAGAGAUCUGGAGGAAUACCGAUGGCGAAGGCAGCCAUCUGGCCUAAUACUGACACUGAGGUGCGAAAGCAUGGGGAGCAAAC